GUCAGUCUAGUCUAGUGGUUAAAGGUGUUCCCAGCCGAAGCGUGGGUUCGAAUCCCAGUGUCUGACCU
Non-coding RNA from Merluccius polli (Benguela hake), 68 nucleotides. The record is from the annotation of a GenBank genome assembly. NCBI's taxonomy places the organism in Eukaryota, Metazoa, Chordata, Actinopteri, Gadiformes, Merlucciidae.